Molecule: non-coding RNA, 195 nt
Organism: Camponotus floridanus (Florida carpenter ant)
Lineage: Eukaryota; Metazoa; Arthropoda; Insecta; Hymenoptera; Formicidae
Source: Rfam
AUCGCUUCUCGGCUCACCUGAGCUAAGAUCAAAUGUGUAGUAUCUGUUCUUAUCAGCUUAAUAUCUGAUACAAUCCCCACAGGGGAUUCAGAAUAUUAAAGCGAUUUUUGAAAUCAGGCGGUGGACUGGAGCUUGCUCUGGCCUUGCCACGGGUCGCUCUGACAUUGCAGUGACGUUAGAGUUGGCCUUAUAAAU